UACAGAGGGUGCGAGCGUUAAUCGGAGUUACUGGGCGUAAAGGGCGCGUAGGCGGUUUUCUAAGUUUGGUGUGAAAUCUCCCGGCUUAACUGGGAGGGUGCGCCGAAGACUGGAAGGCUUGAGUAUGGGAGAGGUAAGCGGAAUUCCUGGUGUAGCGGUGAAAUGCGUAGAUAUCAGGAGGAACACCUGCGGUGUAGACGGCUUACUGGACCAUAACUGACGCUGAGGCACGAAAGCGUGGGUAGCAAACAGG
This 253-nucleotide ribosomal RNA is filed under the name uncultured bacterium. RNAcentral describes it as "partial 16S ribosomal RNA". It matches the Rfam family "Bacterial small subunit ribosomal RNA", at positions 524 to 776 of the family's 1533-position model. The record is from RNAcentral.